This 468-nucleotide ribosomal RNA is filed under the name uncultured bacterium. Its description in RNAcentral is "partial 16S ribosomal RNA". It matches the Rfam family "Bacterial small subunit ribosomal RNA", at positions 28 to 507 of the family's 1533-position model. The record is from RNAcentral.
GACGAACGCUGGCGGCGUGCUUAACACAUGCAAGUCGAACGGAAAGGCCCUGCUUUUGUGGGGUGCUCGAGUGGCGAACGGGUGAGUAACACGUGAGUAACCUGCCCUUGACUUUGGGAUAACUUCAGGAAACUGGGGCUAAUACCGGAUAGGAGCUCCUGCUGCAUGGUGGGGGUUGGAAAGUUUCGGCGGUUGGGGAUGGACUCGCGGCUUAUCAGCUGGUUGGUGGGGUAGUGGCUUACCAAGGCUUUGCCGGGUAGCCGGCCUGAGAGGGUGACCGGCCACAUGGGGACUGAGAUACGGCCCAGACUCCUACGGGAGGCAGCAGUGGGGAAUAUUGCACAAUGGGCGGAAGCCUGAUGCAGCAACGCCGCGUGCGGGAUGACGGCCUUCGGGUUGUAAACCGCUUUCGCCUGUGACGAAGCGUGAGUGACGGUAAUGGGUAAAGAAGCACCGGCUAACUACGUG